Gossypium raimondii (Peruvian cotton) is the source of this 72-nucleotide non-coding RNA. NCBI's taxonomy places the organism in Eukaryota, Viridiplantae, Streptophyta, Magnoliopsida, Malvales, Malvaceae. The record is from Rfam.
AAUGUUUGAGUUCAAUUGGUAGGAUGUGUGGUUUUUAACUACGUUUCUUGGGUUUGAUUCCUACAAAAAUAA